GUCUAUGGCCGUACCACCCUAAACGCGCCUGAUCUCAUCUGAUCUUGGAAGCUAAGUCAGGCCUGGUUAGUACUUCGAUGGGAGAAAAGGCAACUGUAUUGGGGGGAAGGCAGGCUGUUUCAUAUU
This 126-nucleotide ribosomal RNA is filed under the name Propithecus coquereli (Coquerel's sifaka). The record is from RNAcentral. Lineage: Eukaryota; Metazoa; Chordata; Mammalia; Primates; Indriidae.